RNAcentral lists this unclassified non-coding RNA (3912 nucleotides) under Pogonomyrmex barbatus (red harvester ant). RNAcentral's name for it is "centrosomal protein of 135 kDa, transcript variant X7". Lineage: Eukaryota; Metazoa; Arthropoda; Insecta; Hymenoptera; Formicidae. The record is from RNAcentral.
AUUUUUGAACUGUUUAAAAUAGUUUGCGAGGAAACGAUUCGAGACGAGUUGGAAUGUUAUGAGUAGUAUUUCGAGCGUUUCUGGCGAAAUGAGAAUAUGAUAAUAAUGUAUUAGGUUUAUAAACAAAUAAUGAUACAUUAACAAAAUUAUUUGGUAAGAAAAGAUGUAUGUAUCGUAUGAUUUGAAUGAUUAUCGUUGAUUUAUGGAACGUUAUCGUUAUUGUUUAUUACAUGUAUCCGCAAUGUUAAUUAGUGAUGCUGUCUCCCAUGUCCAUUCUGUAGUAACAGACGAGCAAACAUUAAUAAUGUAUUUAUAUGAUUACAAUAACAACAAUGAAGAUAUGAGGUUACGUUUUAGAAGUAUCGUAUUGAUUAUAUGACCUAAGGCUAUCUUAUAACGAUCAGUGUACAUAUUACAUUGAACGGUAUCGAAGAUGAAUGAAGACGUGGAGUACAAUGUCGCCGCUAGAUAUCGAACAGUUAAAAAACAUCUAGAUAACUUGGGAUACAAACAGGCGCUGUCUUUAGACGCUCUACCCCUGGUAGAGGCCUUACUGGGUGAUUUGAUACAAACCACAGACAGCCUUAAGCACUUCAAAACCGUCGCUCAAGAGAAUAUUGAGACAUGCAGCCAGUUGCAAUUGGCAGUUGAUCCUUACAAAUGUGAUAAUGCAAGAUUAGUGCGAGAAUGCAACCAGCUUCAUUCAGAUCUGAUAGAGGCUAAGGAGACACAUCAGAAGCAAGUCAAGGAUCUUAAAAGACAGAUAUACAAGUUAGAAUGUGAAUGCAAUGAUCUACAACUGGCAUCCUCGCGUAACAUAAAUAAGAUAAAGGAGCUUGAGGCAGAAUCAGCUGCCAAAUCUAAGAAGAUAUUGGAGCUUCAAGGCAAAUGUCUAAAGCCAACUAUUAUUAAUGUCGGUCUUGCUGCCAAGAAACGUCCCUGCUUUCCUCUUCGAAGAGCAGUCUUGGAAGCUGAGCCAAUGCCAAAGGCAAAGACCAACAGUUCAUUGCCAAAAUUAAGUAGUGUGGAGCCUAAGAUAAUAGACAUGAUAAGCAUGGCAGACCACAAGAUGAAUUGUCUAAGUCAGGAGGUAACCAAAUUACGGGGAGAGCUUUUAUUGCAAACCGAUACCAUAGAGAUUCUUGAGAAACAGCUAGCCACAAAAGAAAAAGAAAUAAUUCGAUUAAGAAAAAUGUUAGAAGGCGGUCGUUCCCAUAUUGCACUUAGCAAGGACUGUACUUGCAAAAAAAUAGAAAAGAAAACUGAUGUUACUCAUAAUACUGCAGAAAUUAAUGAAGUUAAAAUUCUUCAACAGGCCAAAUUGGAGUUGGAACAACAGUUAAAAGAAUCUCUAAAUAAACAACAUGAUGCUAUGUCUCAGGCAAUGAAACUAGCAGCACGAAAUGAGGAACUUGAGAAAGAAUUAAGAGAUAUAGAUCACGUUGCAUUAGCUGUAGAAGCUGAUUGCAACUCUGCAGUUAAAGAGAAUAACAGAAGAGUUGGCAAACUCCAGGAGAAGUUAGAGGAUAUCAUGAUGCAAGUGCAUGUCUUAGAACGUGAGUUAACUAUGGAACGUAGAGAAGUACAGGAAUUAAGAGCAGAUCUGGAAGCAUGUAGGCUUGAAAAGCGUAAUGUUCAGCGUACUCUAGAAUCUACAUUGGAUGAAAAGAAACGAAUGUCUGACAGGAUCAAUCAACUAACAGUCAUUGGUGGUCAAAAUUCUUACAAAAAUGAUAAAAAUGAAAAAUAUGAUAUGGAUUAUCAGACUACAGUUAAAGAUAGAGAAGUCAUAACAAAUACAAGCAAUGUUUUUGAGAUGCAAAAACGAAUUGACGAAGCAGAAUUAAAAAUUGCAUCUUUGCAACAGACGAUCCAACGAUUAGAAGUAGAACGAGAUCAUUAUAGAAAGGAAUACAUAAAUUGUGAUGAACAACGCAAAUCAGCUGAUAAAGAUACCGCCGAAUUAUGGACACAAAUUUGUGAAUUAAAAAGCGAGUUAAGCCGCAAGGAAUAUGCUUUAAAUAACGUACAGCGAGAGAAAGAAGAAUUAUGUCAACAAAAAAAGGAAAAUCUGGAAGCGCGACUGCAAACAUAUAAGAAUCAACAGUAUAUUCCUUGCAGAUCAUGUUUGUGCAAACCCGUUUGUAUUUGUACUUGUGCCUCUGGUUCGCCAAUAUCUGCCAAAGAUAUUAGCACAGCAAAGAUAAUGCAUGAACAUUUGGAACGAGAACGGGAUACAGCUAAAGCAGAUGUUGAGCGACUGAUAGAAGAACGCGAUGCAUUACGGGAGAGACUUAAGAUGAUGUCGGAAGUGCACACAUCCGAGCAACUCCAUCUUAAGGAAAAUUUAACCGAGACGGAGAAUCGAUUAAAACAUAUAGAAAAAGAACGACAAGAUCUCUUGGUCACUCAGGGCACGAAAAGAGCAGCGAUAAACGGUCUUGAGGAUCAAUUGGACGACAUACAAGAGGAAUUGCGUCGUACAAAACAGGAAUUAAUGGCACAACGAACGCAAUACUUCCAAUUACGAACUCUGCAAGAUCAAACAGAUCAAGCUCUUGGAGACGCGCAGAAUCAAUUGUCGCAAGCAGAAUCAGAGUUAAACAAAGCUAUGGAUCGCAAUAGAAAUAUGGAGCAGCAGCAAUCGCAAUUGAACGAUCAAAUCAAGGGACUGAAGCAAGAGAUAAACACUCUGCGCUCGAACAUGACGCUUUUAGAUCAAGAGAAAGAUCGUCUAUUGAUGGCAUUGGAUGAAAAGACAGAGAAGAUCGCCGCGUUAGAACGAGAAUUGAUGCACAAGGAUCAACAAAUGGAGGGGGUACAACAACAAAUCCGCGACUUACAGCAUAAAAACGAGAUAUGCAUUGAUCAGAGCGCCGAGCGAGAACGUCAGCUCAGGUCGCUGCAGCUGGAGAUGGAGACGGUACAGCGGCAGUUCGAAACCGCGUCGGUGGACCGCGAGAAUGCGAUUCAGGAGAACCGGAAGCUGCAGGACGACUUAGCGGCGGUGACCUGCGAGGUGCGGAACAUGCAACGCGAGCUGGAAAUCUCGCGCGCCGAGUGCUAUGACCUGAAGCGACAGCUGCAGACUUACGUCAGCGAGGUCCGUCGUGCCGAGGAACUCUUAAAUCGAAAGGAAAACGAGAGAACGGAAAUGCUGAAUCAUUUCCGAAGUCUCAGCUUGGAGGCGACGGUUCUGGAGAACAAUAAUCAUAGCUUGGAGUCUGAGGCGGCGGAGGCUAGGGGUGCCCUUCAAACCGCGAGGCAUCAGAUACUCGAUCUCGAGCGUCAGUUAGCGGAUAAAGAUUGUUUGAUAAAAGGCUACGAGACUCAGAUAAGCAAUCUCACGCAGAGCGUCGCUAGCAUGGAGACGCAAUUACGACAACAGAUCGAACAGAAACAUCGAGCCGAGGCCGAUCUAAUGGCGGUCAGAGACCUGUGCGUGAAGCUGGAUCAACAAAAGGAUACGCUUGUGGAACAACUCGGUGACAAUGACACUGUGAAAGCGCAGUAUGAAGCGCAAUUGUCAAGAUUGCAAGCCGAGCAGACUAUUGUUCAAGAUCAGAUUACUAGAGAUCGCGUGACUGUGGAACGACUGGAGACUCUUCUGGAUCAAGCGAGGCAGGAGUCCAUUAACGCGCAGGCUACUAAUCAAGAGCUGCAAAAUGAAAUAUCCAGAUUGAAGCAGAAAGUCUCCGAUCUUCAAAGUAAACUAAUCUGCGGAACUCAGACAGUAUCAGAAUCAAGCGGCGGAAUACAGCAAACAGAUUAGCGAACUUCGUAGACAGGUUACCAACGAGAGGUUUGACCGUGCUAGAAAGGAAGAGGAAAGUCGCAGGUCACUAAAUUCCUCUCCAGAUAGUUUCAAUGUAGAUUUAAAUGUAGUCAUAUAGAAUAUUAUAUAUUAUCUUU